GGUUAAGCGACUAAGCGUACACGGUGGAUGCCCUGGCAGUCAGAGGCGAUGAAGGACGUGCUAAUCUGCGAUAAGCGCCGGUAAGGUGAUAUGAACCGUUAUAACCGGCGAUUUCCGAAUGGGGAAACCCAGUGUGACUCGUCACACUAUCAUUAACUGAAUCCAUAGGUUAAUGAGGCGAACCGGGGGAACUGAAACAUCUAAGUACCCCGAGGAAAAGAAAUCAACCGAGAUUCCCCCAGUAGCGGCGAGCGAACGGGGAGGAGCCCAGAGCCUGAAUCAGCAUGUGUGUUAGUGGAAGCGUCUGGAAAGGCGCGCGAUACAGGGUGACAGCCCCGUACACAAAAGCGCAUGUGCUGUGAGCUCGAUGAGUAGGGCGGGACACGUGGUAUCCUGUCUGAAUAUGGGGGGACCAUCCUCCAAGGCUAAAUACUCCUGACUGACCGAUAGUGAACCAGUACCGUGAGGGAAAGGCGAAAAGAACCCCGGCGAGGGGAGUGAAAAAGAACCUGAAACCGUGUACGUACAAGCAGUGGGAGCCCCACCACUAAGCCAGUGGUGAACUCCACAUACGCAUCCUUUGCUGAGGAUACGGUUAACGGAGCGAAAGCGACGUUCAACCUCAAAAGAAGCAGAGGGGGCUUAGUGGUGGGGUGACUGCGUACCUUUUGUAUAAUGGGUCAGCGACUUAUAUUCUGUAGCAAGGUUAACCGAAUAGGG
RNAcentral lists this ribosomal RNA (720 nucleotides) under Salmonella enterica subsp. enterica serovar Give. Its description in RNAcentral is "partial 23S ribosomal RNA". It matches the Rfam family "Bacterial large subunit ribosomal RNA", at positions 1 to 662 of the family's 2925-position model. The record is from RNAcentral. Lineage: Bacteria; Pseudomonadati; Pseudomonadota; Gammaproteobacteria; Enterobacterales; Enterobacteriaceae.